AAUCAACGCUGGCGGCGCGCCUAACACAUGCAAGUCGAACGAGAAAGGGGAGCAAUCCCUGAGUAGAGUGGCGUACGGGUGAGUAACACGUGGGUAAUCUGCCUCUUAGUGGGGAAUAACCCUGGGAAACCGGGGCUAAUACCGCAUAAGCCCGAGAGGGGAAACGCGAAAGCGGCUGAGAGAGGAGCCCGCGGCCGAUUAGCUAGUUGGUGGGGUAAAAGCCUACCAAGGCAAAGAUCGGUAGCCGGCCUGAGAGGGCACACGGCCACA
Molecule: ribosomal RNA, 270 nt
Filed under: uncultured bacterium
Lineage: Bacteria
Description: partial 16S ribosomal RNA
Rfam family: Bacterial small subunit ribosomal RNA
Source: RNAcentral